Molecule: unclassified non-coding RNA, 492 nt
Filed under: Hevea brasiliensis (rubber tree)
Lineage: Eukaryota; Viridiplantae; Streptophyta; Magnoliopsida; Malpighiales; Euphorbiaceae
Source: RNAcentral
AAAUGAGAAAGAGAUAAGCCAAAUUAACAAUUAGUUGCAUGGUAUUGUUUAGAGACUCUAAAUUUGCAUCCAUCAUAAAGUAAUUAUUUCUCUUUUGGUUGUUUGUAAAGCAAGGAGGAACAGAUACGCUUCCUCUACUACAUCUGUUUCUAUAGUAUCUAAUUGUUGUUACACCUGAAGGCAUGGUGCUUUCGAUGCUGAAGAAACUAUUAUCUCAAACCCCAACCUUGACAAAAGCUUCUAACUCUGUGAGAUUUUUCUUAAUAUCUGUGUUAAAGCUUCUAUGAUGGAUAAAUAUUAAGCUUCUUUACCUUGACCUGUUUAUUCUUGUACCUUAAAAACUAUUUGCAGUGUGGGCUAACCAUGGAGAUGAUAUACGCAUCCCGUAUUCUGGUACUCCAGCUUUAAAGGGAGAUUUUGUCAGGCAACAACUUUCUUGUUCUGCUAAAAGAAGAUUAAAUGAAGGCUGCAUUAGUGCAAAGCAUAUUUUCG